This 335-nucleotide unclassified non-coding RNA is filed under the name soil metagenome. Its description in RNAcentral is "partial contains 5.8S ribosomal RNA, internal transcribed spacer 2, and large subunit ribosomal RNA". The stretch from base 1 to 120 matches the Rfam family "5.8S ribosomal RNA", at positions 35 to 154 of the family's 154-position model. The record is from RNAcentral.
GAUGAAGAACGCAGCGAAAUGCGAUAAGUAAUGUGAAUUGAAGAAUUCAGUGAAUCAUCGAAUCUUUGAACGCACAUUGCGCCCAUUAGCAUUCUAGUGGGCAUGCCUGUUCGAGCGUCAUUUCAACCCUUAAGCCCUGUUGCUUAGCGUUGGGAGCCUACAGUACUGUAGCUCCCCAAAGUUAGUGGCGGAGUCGGUUUCACACUCUAGACGUAGUAAUUUUUUCUCGUCUGUAGUUGAGCCGGUCCCCUGCCGUAAAACACCCAAUUUAUCAAGGUUGACCUCGGAUCAGGUAGGAAUACCCGCUGAACUUAAGCAUAUCAAUAAGCGGAGGA